UACGGGGGGUGCGAGCGUUGUCCGGAAUCACUGGGCGUAAAGGGCGCGUAGGUGGUUUGAUAAGGGUGUGGUGAAAGCCCGGGGCUCAACCCCGGGUCGGCCGUGCCGACUGUUGAACUCGAGGGCUGUAGAGGCAGACGGAAUUCCGGGUGUAGCGGUGGAAUGCGUAGAGAUCCGGAGGAAGACCGGUGGCGAAGGCGGUCUGCUGGGCAGUUUCUGACACUGAGAGACGAAAGCUAGGGGAGCGAAUGGG
RNAcentral lists this ribosomal RNA (253 nucleotides) under uncultured prokaryote. Its description in RNAcentral is "partial 16S ribosomal RNA". It matches the Rfam family "Bacterial small subunit ribosomal RNA", at positions 524 to 776 of the family's 1533-position model. The record is from RNAcentral.